UAUUAUCACAAGGAGUGCUAACCAGCUGAGAUCGCUUUUGCGAAAUCCUAGGGACCUGAUCUAGUUAAUACUAGCGUAGGAAUGUGAUGGGUAAGGUUA
Molecule: non-coding RNA, 99 nt
Filed under: Streptococcus macacae
Lineage: Bacteria; Bacillati; Bacillota; Bacilli; Lactobacillales; Streptococcaceae
Description: TPP sequence
Rfam family: TPP riboswitch aptamer (THI element)
About the family: Vitamin B(1) in its active form thiamin pyrophosphate (TPP) is an essential coenzyme that is synthesised by coupling of pyrimidine and thiazole moieties in bacteria. The previously detected thiamin-regulatory element, thi box was extended, resulting in a new, highly conserved RNA secondary structure, the THI element, which is widely distributed in eubacteria and also occurs in some archaea.
Source: RNAcentral